AUGGCGAGUGUGAGAUCCUGCUGGCUGCGCUGGGGAACGCUGGUUUCUGUCAUGUUCUGUCUGUUUGCUCAGGGGAACAGCUGGGAGUGUUUGGACAAGAACGAGAUUCUUACUGAAAUGUCCAGGGAUGUUGAGAUGCCGUCUGAGUGUGUGUUGAGCUGUACAGCGCUCUCUUACAGACAGAUCGCAGACAGACAGCAGAAACUAACUGUCCGCUUCAAAGACUCACAUCCCGGCGAGUCGGGGGACUUCUGCUGGUUUAUUCAUAAGAGAUGCAGCACAUGGGAUGAAGUUUUUGUUUUACUGUCAGUCAAUGAAUCCAUUCAGAACGGAGGAGAAAUUCAACUUCGAACCAACUCUCUGAUUCACCUGAACCCCAUUCAUCCCCACGACUCUCUGUCCAUCAUCCCUGACGACUGCGGGCUUCGCUUCGACGUCACGCCGCACCUGAGACACCUGAGACACCUGAGACACCUGACACAACACACGCUCUGUGUCACACCCACAGGCAUCAUGGGAAACCACUUACACUGUCCACCGUCUCUGGUCAUCAUAAGGAAAAAACAGUAGGGUCUGACAGUCUGACUGAUUCCUGAAGGAACCUAUAAACAUUAUGAGACACAAUGGUAAAGAUUUAGACAGAUGUACUGUAGGCUAGUGGUGUGACAUUUAGGAUAUUGCAUUUCAAUUUAAAUUCUUUUGAAUUAUAUAUAUAUAUAUAUAUAUAUAUAUAUAUAUAUAUAUAUAUAUAUAUAUAUAUAUAUAUAUAUAUGAUAUGAUUUCAUGUGUGGCGAAUGAAUUGCUGUGUCUCGCCUGCAGCUGAUACACAACAGGUAUACAUUCAUUGUAAAUUGAUUAUUAAAUUGUUUAAUUAGGGUUUAUAGAUCAUUUAAAUGACAGAGAUCGAGUGUCUGAAUUCACUCCUUCAAGUGAACUGUACUAGUGUUCUGUAGGGAAUAGUGAAUGAUUUCAGAUUCAGCCUCAGUCUAUCUAGUACAGAAUAAACCCCUGACCCGACCGUCCCGCUUAAUUCAGAUCUCGUUUUCAGAAUAUAUCAUUUUAAAGAAUAGAAUAGAGAUUGGCUAACAAAUAAAAGUGUAGUCUGACAAAAUUGUGUCAUUUUAUUCUUGUCAAGAGUGUUGAAUUUACUGACUUUGACUUAAAUUCAUAUGAAUUAUCUUUAGACACAAAAUUUGUUUAUUAUUUUAUGCAACACAGGGAAAAAAUGUCAGAGAGAAUAAAAAUGUACAAAAAUUGAAUUUCUUAUUUUUAUUCGUCUUGUCAAAAAGAAUUUGGGUGGUACAAAAAUAGUCUAUUAAGAUUUUCUAAACUUUGAAAUGUUUCUGUAAACACAGUAGGAAAAGUGUCGCAGAGAAAAAUAAAUAAAUACGACAUCUGUCAUUUAAAAUAAGCAAAAUAUAAACAAAACCGAGUGGAACGUCCUUCGAGAAGAGAUCUUUCUUCUGCCGUCACUCAUCCACUAGAAGCGUGUUGUGUCCGAGCCGAGGGCAGCUGCAUCGGUGGUCGGAUAUAGACUUCGGGAACGGGAGCUCCCGUUCAUAUACACCAGAGUUACCGACCGCUACCGCGUUUUAUUCGGGAAUUUAAUCCCGCGGCGCAGAAGAUGUGUUCGUGUGGAGUCGCGGGAUGCAGACCUUUACCUUCUUCUUCUUCAGCCCAGAUAUAGACACGACACGACCUGAAGUCAUACUUGUGCUGGUAUUUCUUACAGAAGUGUUGUAUGGUAAUAAACUAGUCUUUCGGAGUCCAAACUACAUUAUCUCGGUCAGUUAGUCAGUUAGACUGCGUAAACAGAACAGACUAGUGCUAUUUAAGUUGAAUGACAUGACAGUUAAAAACACUAAUUGUUUUACGGCAGCUGAAAAGCAAUUAAAAAUGACAAUCAAAUUAAUUUAAAGAAAC
This is a long non-coding RNA of Carassius auratus (goldfish), 1923 nucleotides long. Lineage: Eukaryota; Metazoa; Chordata; Actinopteri; Cypriniformes; Cyprinidae. The record is from Ensembl.